RNAcentral lists this ribosomal RNA (468 nucleotides) under uncultured bacterium. Its description in RNAcentral is "partial 16S ribosomal RNA". The stretch from base 49 to 468 matches the Rfam family "Bacterial small subunit ribosomal RNA", at positions 39 to 507 of the family's 1533-position model. The record is from RNAcentral.
GGGGGGGGGGGGGGGGGGGGGGGGGGCGGGGGGGUCGGGCGGGGGGGCCCGGCGGGUGGGGGGUGAUGGGGGGGGGCACGGGUGAGUGGCGCGUGAGUCACCUGCGCUUGACUUUGGGAUAACUUCCUGAGACUUGGGCGAAUCCCGGCUGGGAGCCCCUGCUUCCUGUUGGGGGUUGUAACGUUGCGGCGGUUGGGGAUGUACUCGCGGCUUCUCAGCUUGUUGGUGGGGUAGUUGCUUACCAAGGCUUUGACGGGUAGCCGGCCUGAGAGGGUGACCGGCCACAUUGGGACUGAGAGACGGCCCAGACUCCUACGGGAGGCAGCAGUGGGGAAGAUUGCACAAUGGGCGGAAGCCUGAGGCAGCAACGCCGCGGGCGGGAUGACGGCCUUCGGGUUGUAAACCGCUUUCGCCUGUGACGAAGCGUGAGGGACGGUAAUGGGUAAAGAAGCACCGGCUAACUACGUG